RNAcentral lists this ribosomal RNA (1372 nucleotides) under uncultured bacterium. Its description in RNAcentral is "bacterial SSU rRNA". It matches the Rfam family "Bacterial small subunit ribosomal RNA", at positions 28 to 1381 of the family's 1533-position model. The record is from RNAcentral.
GAUGAACGCUGGCGGCGUGCCUAAUACAUGCAAGUCGAGCGAACGGACGAGAAGCUUGCUUCUCUGAUGUUAGCGGCGGACGGGUGAGUAACACGUGGAUAACCUACCUAUAAGACUGGGAUAACUUCGGGAAACCGGAGCUAAUACCGGAUAAUAUUUUGAACCGCAUGGUUCAAAAGUGAAAGACGGUCUUGCUGUCACUUAUAGAUGGAUCCGCGCUGCAUUAGCUAGUUGGUAAGGUAACGGCUUACCAAGGCAACGAUGCAUAGCCGACCUGAGAGGGUGAUCGGCCACACUGGAACUGAGACACGGUCCAGACUCCUACGGGAGGCAGCAGUAGGGAAUCUUCCGCAAUGGGCGAAAGCCUGACGGAGCAACGCCGCGUGAGUGAUGAAGGUCUUCGGAUCGUAAAACUCUGUUAUUAGGGAAGAACAUAUGUGUAAGUAACUGUGCACAUCUUGACGGUACCUAAUCAGAAAGCCACGGCUAACUACGUGCCAGCAGCCGCGGUAAUAUGUAGGUGGCAAGCGUUAUCCGGAAUUAUUGGGCGUAAAGCGCGCGUAGGCGGUUUUUUAAGUCUGAUGUGAAAGCCCACGGCUCAACCGUGGAGGGUCAUUGGAAACUGGAAAACUUGAGUGCAGAAGAGGAAAGUGGAAUUCCAUGUGUAGCGGUGAAAUGCGCAGAGAUAUGGAGGAACACCAGUGGCGAAGGCGACUUUCUGGUCUGUAACUGACGCUGAUGUGCGAAAGCGUGGGGAUCAAACAGGAUUAGAUACCCUGGUAGUCCACGCCGUAAACGAUGAGUGCUAAGUGUUAGGGGGUUUCCGCCCCUUAGUGCUGCAGCUAACGCAUUAAGCACUCCGCCUGGGGAGUACGACCGCAAGGUUGAAACUCAAAGGAAUUGACGGGGACCCGCACGAGCGGUGGAGCAUGUGGUUUAAUUCGAAGCAACGCGAAGAACCUUACCAAAUCUUGACAUCCUUUGACAACUCUAGAGAUAGAGCCUUCCCCUUCGGGGGACAAAGUGACAGGUGGUGCAUGGUUGUCGUCAGCUCGUGUCGUGAAAUGUUGGGUUAAGUCCCGCAACGAGCGCAACCCUUAAGCUUAGUUGCCAUCAUUAAGUUGGGCACUCUAAGUUGACUGCCGGUGACAAACCGGAGGAAGGUGGGGAUGACGUCAAAUCAUCAUGCCCCUUAUGAUUUGGGCUACACACGUGCUACAAUGGACAAUACAAAGGGCAGCGAAACCGCGAGGUCAAGCAAAUCCCAUAAAGUUGUUCUCAGUUCGGAUUGUAGUCUGCAACUCGACUACAUGAAGCUGGAAUCGCUAGUAAUCGUAGAUCAGCAUGCUACGGUGAAUACGUUCCCGGGUCU